This 253-nucleotide ribosomal RNA is filed under the name uncultured bacterium. Its description in RNAcentral is "partial 16S ribosomal RNA". It matches the Rfam family "Bacterial small subunit ribosomal RNA", at positions 524 to 776 of the family's 1533-position model. The record is from RNAcentral.
UACGUAGGGGGCUAGCGUUGUCCGGAAUCAUUGGGCGUAAAGAGCGUGUAGGCGGUCCGGUAAGUCCGCUGUGAAAGUCGGGGGCUCAACCCUCGAAUGCCGGUGGAUACUGUCGGGCUAGAGUACGGAAGAGGCGAGUGGAAUUCCUGGUGUAGCGGUGAAAUGCGCAGAUAUCAGGAGGAACACCAAUUGCGAAGGCAGCUCGCUGGGACGUAACUGACGCUGAGACGCGAAAGCCAGGGGAGCGAACGGG